RNAcentral lists this ribosomal RNA (465 nucleotides) under Vreelandella stevensii. Its description in RNAcentral is "partial 16S ribosomal RNA". It matches the Rfam family "Bacterial small subunit ribosomal RNA", at positions 338 to 795 of the family's 1533-position model. The record is from RNAcentral. Lineage: Bacteria; Pseudomonadati; Pseudomonadota; Gammaproteobacteria; Oceanospirillales; Halomonadaceae.
CCUACGGGUGGCAGCAGUGGGGAAUAUUGGACAAUGGGCGAAAGCCUGAUGCAGCCAUGCCGCGUGUGUGAAGAAGGCCUUCGGGUUGUAAAGCACUUUCAGUGGGGAAGAAAGCCUUGGGGCUAAUACCCUCGAGGAAGGACAUCACCCACAGAAGAAGCACCGGCUAACUCCGUGCCAGCAGCCGCGGUAAUACGGAGGGUGCGAGCGUUAAUCGGAAUUACUGGGCGUAAAGCGCGCGUAGGCGGUCUGAUAAGCCGGUUGUGAAAGCCCCGGGCUCAACCUGGGAACGGCAUCCGGAACUGUCAGGCUAGAGUGCAGGAGAGGAAGGUAGAAUUCCCGGUGUAGCGGUGAAAUGCGUAGAGAUCGGGAGGAAUACCAGUGGCGAAGGCGGCCUUCUGGACUGACACUGACGCUGAGGUGCGAAAGCGUGGGUAGCAAACAGGAUUAGAUACCCGUGUAGUC